GACGAACGCUGGCGGCAUGCCUAAUACAUGCAAGUCGAGCGAACAGAUGGAGUGCUUGCACUUCUGACGUUAGCGGCGAACGGGUGAGUAACACGUAAGGAAUCUACCUAUAAGCGGGGGACAACAUUCGGAAACGGGUGCUAAUACCGCAUAAUAUCUUCUUCCGCAUGGAAGAAGAUUGAAAGACGGCUCUGCUUUCACUUAUAGAUGACCCUGCGGUGCAUUAGUUAGUUGGUGGUGUAAUGGCCUACCAAGACGAUGAGGCAUAGCCGACCUGAGAGGGUGAUCGGCCACAUUGGGACUGAGAAACGGCCCAAACUCCUACGGGAGGCAGCAGUAGGGAAUCUUCCGCAAUGGGCGAAAGCCUGACGGAGCAAUGCCGCGUGAGUGAAGAAGGCCUUCGGGUCGUAAAACUCUGUUAUAAGAGAAGAACAAAUUGUAGAGUAACUGCUACAGUCUUGACGGUAUCUUAUCAGAAAGCCACGGCUAACUACGUGCCAGCAGCCGCAGUAA
This 513-nucleotide ribosomal RNA is filed under the name uncultured bacterium. RNAcentral's name for it is "partial 16S ribosomal RNA". It matches the Rfam family "Bacterial small subunit ribosomal RNA", at positions 28 to 523 of the family's 1533-position model. The record is from RNAcentral.